Molecule: ribosomal RNA, 279 nt
Filed under: uncultured bacterium
Lineage: Bacteria
Description: partial 16S ribosomal RNA
Rfam family: Bacterial small subunit ribosomal RNA
Source: RNAcentral
UGCCAGCCGCCGCGGUAAUACGGGGGGAGCAAGCGUUGUCCGGAAUUACUGGGCGUAAAGGGCGUGUAGGCGGUUUAAUAAGUCAGAUGUAAAAGCCCCCGGCUCAACCGGGGAUGGUCAUUUGAAACUGUUAGGCUUGAGUGCGAGAGAGGGUAGUGGAAUUCCCAGUGUAGCGGUGAAAUGCGUAGAUAUUGGGAAGAACACCAGUAGCGAAGGCGGCUACCUGGCUCGCAACUGACGCUAAGGCGCGAAAGCGUGGGGAGCAAACAGGAUUAGAUA